UAACACAUGCAAGUCGAACGGAAAGGCCUCUUCGGAGGUACUCGAGUGGCGAACGGGUGAGUAACACGUGGCAAUCUGCCCUGCACUUCGGGAUAAGCCUGGGAAACUGGGUCUAAUACCGGAUAGGACCUCAAGACGCAUGUCUUCUGGUGGAAAGCUUUUGCGGUGUGGGAUGGCCCGCGGCCUAUCAGCUUGUUGGUGGGGUGACGGCCUACCAAGGCGACGACGGGUAGCCGGCCUGAGAGGGUGUCCGGCCACACUGGGACUGAGAUACGGCCCAGACUCCUACGGGAGGCAGCAGUGGGGAAUAUUGCACAAUGGGCGCAAGCCUGAUGCAGCGACGCCGCGUGGGGGAUGACGGCCUUCGGGUUGUAAACCUCUUUCACCAUCGACGAAGGUCCGGGUUUUCUCGGAUUGACGGUAGGUGGAGAAGAAGCACCGGCCAACUACGUGCCAGCAGCCGCGGUAAUACGUAGGGUGCGAGCGUUGUCCGGAAUUACUGGGCGUAAAGAGCUCGUAGGUGGUUUGUCGCGUUGUUCGUGAAAUCUCACGGCUUAACUGUGAGCGUGCGGGCGAUACGGGCAGACUAGAGUACUGCAGGGGAGACUGGAAUUCCUGGUGUAGCGGUGGAAUGCGCAGAUAUCAGGAGGAACACCGGUGGCGAAGGCGGGUCUCUGGGCAGUAACUGACGCUGAGGAGCGAAAGCGUGGGGAGCGAACAGGAUUAGAUACCCUGGUAGUCCACGCCGUAAACGGUGGGUACUAGGUGUGGGUUUCCUUCCUUGGGAUCCGUGCCGUAGCUAACGCAUUAAGUACCCCGCCUGGGGAGUACGGCCGCAAGGCUAAAACUCAAAGGAAUUGACGGGGGCCCGCACAAGCGGCGGAGCAUGUGGAUUAAU
Molecule: ribosomal RNA, 898 nt
Filed under: Mycobacterium avium subsp. paratuberculosis
Lineage: Bacteria; Bacillati; Actinomycetota; Actinomycetes; Mycobacteriales; Mycobacteriaceae
Description: bacterial SSU rRNA
Rfam family: Bacterial small subunit ribosomal RNA
Source: RNAcentral